This 97-nucleotide signal recognition particle RNA is filed under the name Salmonella enterica. RNAcentral's name for it is "signal recognition particle sRNA small type". It matches the Rfam family "Bacterial small signal recognition particle RNA". Rfam says of the family: The signal recognition particle (SRP) is a universally conserved ribonucleoprotein involved in the co-translational targeting of proteins to membranes. Archaeal SRP consists of a 7S RNA and homologues of the eukaryotic SRP19 and SRP54 proteins. In most bacteria, the SRP consists of a 4.5S RNA and the Ffh protein (a homologue of the eukaryotic SRP54 protein). RNAcentral also lists the same sequence under 1 other name. Lineage: Bacteria; Pseudomonadati; Pseudomonadota; Gammaproteobacteria; Enterobacterales; Enterobacteriaceae. The record is from RNAcentral.
UGUUGGUUCUCCCGCAACGCUACUCUGUUUACCAGGUCAGGUCCGGAAGGAAGCAGCCAAGGCGGAUGACGUGUGUGCCGGGAUGUAGCUGGCAGGG